Molecule: ribosomal RNA, 253 nt
Filed under: uncultured bacterium
Lineage: Bacteria
Description: partial 16S ribosomal RNA
Rfam family: Bacterial small subunit ribosomal RNA
Source: RNAcentral
UACGGGGGGGGCAAGCGUUGUUCGGAAUUACUGGGCGUAAAGGGCUCGUAGGUGGCCAACUAAGUCAGACGUGAAAUCCCUCGGCUCAACCGAGGAACUGCGUCCGAUACUGAAUGGCUUGAAUCCGGGAGAGGGAUGCGGAAUUCCAGGUGUAGCGGUGAAAUGCGUAGAUAUCUGGAGGAACACCGGUGGCGAAGGCGGCAUCCUGGACCGGUAUUGACGCUGAGAGACGAAAGCUAGGGGAGCAAACGGG